GAUGAACGCUGGCGGCGUGCUUAACACAUGCAAGUCGAACGAAGCAUUUACCAGGAAGUUUUCGGAUGGAAUGGUGAAUGACUGAGUGGCGGACGGGUGAGUAACGCGUGGGUAACCUGCCUCAUACAGGGGGAUAACAGUUGGAAACGACUGCUAAUACCGCAUAAGCGCACAGCUUCGCAUGGAGUGGUGUGAAAAGAUUUAUCAGUAUGAGAUGGACCCGCGUCUGAUUAGCUAGUUGGUGAGGUAACGGCCCACCAAGGCGACGAUCAGUAGCCGGCUUGAGAGAGUGAACGGCCACAUUGGGGACUGAGACACGGCCCAAACUCCUACGGGAGGCU
This 341-nucleotide ribosomal RNA is filed under the name uncultured Bacillota bacterium. RNAcentral describes it as "bacterial SSU rRNA". It matches the Rfam family "Bacterial small subunit ribosomal RNA", at positions 28 to 350 of the family's 1533-position model. The record is from RNAcentral. Lineage: Bacteria; Bacillati; Bacillota.